Molecule: ribosomal RNA, 109 nt
Filed under: Tenacibaculum finnmarkense genomovar finnmarkense
Lineage: Bacteria; Pseudomonadati; Bacteroidota; Flavobacteriia; Flavobacteriales; Flavobacteriaceae
Also listed under: 3 other names
Description: partial 23S ribosomal RNA
Rfam family: Bacterial large subunit ribosomal RNA
Source: RNAcentral
GAUGAGAUUUCUUUUAAGGGUCGUGGAAGAUUACCACGUUGAUAGGCUAUAGGUGUAAAGGCAGUAAUGUCAUAGCCAAGUAGUACUAAUAACCCAUAGGCUUAUGUAG